AGAGUUUGAUCCUGGCUCAGGACGAACGCUGGCGGCGUGCUUAACACAUGCAAGUCGUACGAGACGAUUGAAAGCUUGCCUUUGAAAGUCGAGUGGCAAACGGGUGAGUAACGCGUAGACAACCUGCCGUAAAGAUGGGGACAACAGUCCGAAAGGACUGCUAAUACCGAAUGUUGUGGAACUUCCGCAUGGGGGCUCCACUAAAGAUGGCCUCUACUUGUAAGCUAUCGCUUUACGAUGGGUCUGCGUCUGAUUAGCUAGUUGGUGGGGUAACGGCUUACCAAGGCGACGAUCAGUAGCCGGUCUGAGAGGAUGAACGGCCACAUUGGAACUGAGACACGGUCCAGACUCCUACGGGAGGCAGCAGUGGGGAAUCUUCCGCAAUGGACGCAAGCCUGACGGAGCAACGCCNCGUGAGUGAAGAAGGGUUCNACUCGUAAAGCUCUGUUGNCCGGGACNAUGNGNANGUUGUNAAUACNGCNUUCCAUGACGNNCCUGACGAGGAA
RNAcentral lists this ribosomal RNA (506 nucleotides) under uncultured bacterium. Its description in RNAcentral is "partial 16S ribosomal RNA". It matches the Rfam family "Bacterial small subunit ribosomal RNA", at positions 8 to 489 of the family's 1533-position model. The record is from RNAcentral.